This 251-nucleotide ribosomal RNA is filed under the name uncultured bacterium. RNAcentral describes it as "partial 16S ribosomal RNA". It matches the Rfam family "Bacterial small subunit ribosomal RNA", at positions 15 to 235 of the family's 1533-position model. The record is from RNAcentral.
GAUCAUGGCUCAGGAUGAACGCUGGCGGCGUGCUUAACACAUGCAAGUCGAACGAAGCACUUUAUUUGAUUUCCUUCGGGACUGAUUAUUUUGUUGACUGAGUGGCGGACGGGUGAGUAACGCGUGGGUAACCUGCCUUGUACAGGGGGAGUAACAGUUGGAAACGGCUGCUAAUACCGCAUAAGCGCACGCGAUCGCAUGAGUGCAGUGUGAAAAACGUAACCGGUCGGGUAGUUAAGAAUGGACCCCGG